This 1496-nucleotide ribosomal RNA is filed under the name uncultured bacterium. RNAcentral's name for it is "partial 16S ribosomal RNA". It matches the Rfam family "Bacterial small subunit ribosomal RNA". The record is from RNAcentral.
UAGAGUUUGAUCAUGGCUCAGGACGAACGCUGGCGGCGUGGAUUAGGCAUGCAAGUCGAGCGACGGACACCCUUCGGGGUGUUACGGAGCGGCGAACGGGUGAGUAACACGUGAAUAACCUGCCCAUAUGUUCCGGAUAAUUGGCCGAAAGGCCUUGUAAUACGGGGGAGGAUCGGUCUUUGGCAUCUUAGACCGAGGGAAGUCGCAAGACGCAUAUGGAGGGGUUCGCGGAUUAUCAGGUAGUUGGUGGGGUAACGGCCUACCAAGCCUACGACGAUUAGCUGAGUMUGCUAGAGGAWGGUSMGCCACWUUGGAACUGAGACACUGUYCMGAMUCCWWCGGGARGCUGCAKUCGAGAAUYUUGGUCAAUGCACGAAAGUGUKAACCAGCGACSYCGCGUGAAGGAUGAAGGCCYUCUGGGUYGUAAACUUCUUUUKUGRGAGARGAACMCAAUGACGKWWUCUCASGAAUAAGCMMCGGCUAACUACKKKCCAGCCAGYCGSSGUAAUAUCGUAGGUGGCAAGCGUUUGUCSGGAUUUACUGGGCGUAAAGCGAACGCAAGGCGGAUUUUUAAGUAGAAAGUGAAARGUUGGAGCUCAACUCUAACACUGCUCCCUAUUACUGGAAAUCUUUGAGUGCCGRRRAGGAAAACGGAAUCAAGUUGUKUAGCGGUGAAAUGCGUUGAUAUAACUUGGAACACCAAUGGCGAAAGCAGUUUUCUGGACGGAUWCUGACGCUCAUGUUCGAAGGCCAAGGUAGCMAACAGGAUUAGAUACCCUGGUAGUCUUGGCYYUWAACGAUGCUCACUAGKUGUUGGGGGGUAACCCUCGGUGCCGCAGCCUAACGCCAUUAAGUGAGCCGCCUGGGGAACUACGGCSGCAAGKUUGAAACUCWAAGGRAUUGGCSGGGGAACCGCACAGGCGUGUGGASYAUAUGGCUUAAUUCGAUKSMACGCGAAGAACCUUACCAGGGCUUGACAUGCACCUGCAAGCUGCCGAAAAGCAGUCGCUUUCGAAGGUGGUGCACAGGUGGUGCAUGGCUGUCGUCAGCUCGUGUUGUGAAAUGUUGGGUUAAGUCCCGCAACGAGCGCAACCCUCAUGUUUUGUUACCAGCGAGUAAUGUCGGGGACUCGAAACAAACUGCCUCUGUAAAGAGGAGGAAGGCGGGGAUGACGUCAAGUCAGCAUGCCCCUUACGCCCUGGGCUGCACAUAUGCUACAAUGGCCGGCACAAAGAGUUGCCAACUCGCGAGAGUGAGCUAAUCUCAAAAAACCGGUCUCAGUUCGGAUCGAAGUCUGCAACUCGACUUCGUGAAGUCGGAAUCGCUAGUAACCGCCGGUCAGCAAUACGGCGGUGAAUACGUUCCCGGUCCUUGCACACACCGCCCGUCACGCCACGAAAGUCUGUCUCACCCGAAGUCGCUGCGCUAACCGCAAGGAAGCAGGCGCCGAAGGUGGGGCCGAUGAUUGGGACGAAGUCGUAACAAGGUAACCGUAA